This is a long non-coding RNA of Gambusia affinis (western mosquitofish), 321 nucleotides long. RefSeq lists it as uncharacterized. NCBI's taxonomy places the organism in Eukaryota, Metazoa, Chordata, Actinopteri, Cyprinodontiformes, Poeciliidae. The record is from RefSeq and is a predicted model, not a curated record. The transcript is spliced from 3 exons.
UGGAAAGUUUGGCUUCGCACUGCUGUAACCAUGCCAACAAUGCAGAUAUGGUCUCCUUAUAUCGAGCUGGGGGACAAAAGCAAAUGCUACGUCUGUUUAAACUGCAUCGAGUCAUUGCUGUCGAGAAGAUUUCAAGAGGCCAAAAAGGAUUCCAGCCCUUCCUAUUGUUUCCUUGUGUCUCCAAAGCCAAUCCGACAAUAAGCCAAUACAAACCCAAUCGGGCAAUGAAUCACUGUAGCUGCCUCUCUCUGGCCCGCAGGUCCUCCAGCACCUGGUGGUAGUGUUCUUUGAAGGCAGUGAUGUCGGCAUCCAGAAAGGCAG